GAGGCCUGACAUCUCCCGGCAGUCACAGUGAUGUCUUCCUUAGAUGGAUUCAAUAAUGGGGAAGAACAGAUGAAAAGUGGUGAAAGUUGCUAACUGCUGUGUUCCUCUGCUUGCUUUUCAUGCUGUGUGCCAGGAAUCAAAGCUGGAGGAGCGGAAGUCAAAUACUUCAUGUUGAUCUGUCUUUGGGAUCACUGAGCCAAUCUUCAGCUAUACUGUUCAGCUCAUCUGUGCUUCUGCAUGAACCAGAUCUGAUCUGUGUUUCAAAUCAGCAAACAUCCCAAGAAAGAAAAUAGCCUGUGAAAGUCCCCUUAGGGUCAACUUUUAAGAAGCCUUGGGCAGCUAUGUUCUUCCAACCUAACAGUCCAUAAGAUCUUCCCCUAUUUUUCCAGAAGCUUCAGAUGAGACUAUCACAAAGAAAAAUAUACAGGGAGUCCACGGAGCCUCCCCUGCAAGCAUCAGUACAGAAGUCGAUGAUAAUCUGGAUGCAAGCCCAGGAGUGUGGAGUCCACUGACUCAGAAGACCUGCAUCUAAGGAAUUGGCUGUUCUUAUCCUUAAGAAUGAUGACUGUGUUUCCAAUUCCAGUAGACCCUUUGAUGCGUUCUGAAUAAAUAUUCCUUUUGGAAUUGAA
RNAcentral lists this long non-coding RNA (629 nucleotides) under Homo sapiens (human). Its description in RNAcentral is "long intergenic non-protein coding RNA 2217". The record is from RNAcentral. Lineage: Eukaryota; Metazoa; Chordata; Mammalia; Primates; Hominidae.